CCUACGGGAGGCUGCAGUGAGGAAUUUUCGUCAAUGGACGAGAGUCUGAACCAGCCAAGUAGCGUGAAGGAUGACUGCCCUAUGGGUUGUAAACUUCUUUUAUAUGGGACUAAAAUGUUCCACGUGUGGGAUUUUGUAUGUACCAUAUGAAUUAGGAUCGGCUAACUCCGUGACAGCAGCCGCGGUAAUACGGAGGAUCCGAGCGUUAUCCGGUUUUAUUGGGUUUAAAGGGAGCGUAGGUGGAUUGUUAAGUCAGUUGUGAAAGUUUGCGGCUCAACCGGAAAAUUGCAGUUGAAACUGGCAGUCUUGAGUACAGUAGAGGUGGGCGGAAUUCGUGGUGUAGCGGUGAAAUGCGUAGAUAUCACGAAGAACUCCGAUUGCGAAGGCAGUUCACUGGACUGCAACUGACACUGAGGCUCGAAAGUGUGGGUAGCAAACAGGAUUAGAUACCCGUGUAGUC
RNAcentral lists this ribosomal RNA (460 nucleotides) under uncultured bacterium. RNAcentral's name for it is "partial 16S ribosomal RNA". It matches the Rfam family "Bacterial small subunit ribosomal RNA", at positions 338 to 795 of the family's 1533-position model. The record is from RNAcentral.